UACGGAGGGUGCAAACGUUGCUCGGAAUUAUUGGGCGUAAAGCGCGCGCAGGCGGUCCGUUAUGUCGGGUGUGAAAGCCCUCGGCUUAACCGAGGAAGUGCAUUCGAAACUGGCGGACUUGAGUACGGGAGAGGGUAGCGGAAUUCCCGGUGUAGAGGUGAAAUUCGUAGAUAUCGGGAGGAACACCAGUGGCGAAGGCGGCUACCUGGACCGAUACUGACGCUGAGGCGCGAAAGCGUGGGGAGCAAACAGG
RNAcentral lists this ribosomal RNA (253 nucleotides) under uncultured bacterium. Its description in RNAcentral is "partial 16S ribosomal RNA". It matches the Rfam family "Bacterial small subunit ribosomal RNA", at positions 524 to 776 of the family's 1533-position model. The record is from RNAcentral.